UACAGAGGUCCCAAGCGUUGUUCGGAUUCACUGGGCGUAAAGGGUGCGUAGGUGGCCAGGUAAGUUUGGUGUGAAAGCUCGGAGCUUAACUCCGAAAAGUCAUUGAAUACUAUCUGGCUGGAGGGUCGGAGGGGAGACUGGAAUUCUCGGUGUAGCAGUGAAAUGCGUAGAUAUCGAGAGGAACACCAGUGGCGAAGGCGGUUGCCUGGAGCUUUGCUGACGCUGAUGCGCGAAAGCGUGGGGAGCGAUCCGG
This 253-nucleotide ribosomal RNA is filed under the name uncultured bacterium. Its description in RNAcentral is "partial 16S ribosomal RNA". It matches the Rfam family "Bacterial small subunit ribosomal RNA", at positions 524 to 776 of the family's 1533-position model. The record is from RNAcentral.